Long non-coding RNA from Carya illinoinensis, 1185 nucleotides. RefSeq lists it as uncharacterized. The transcript is spliced from 2 exons. Lineage: Eukaryota; Viridiplantae; Streptophyta; Magnoliopsida; Fagales; Juglandaceae. The record is from RefSeq and is a predicted model, not a curated record.
AAAACCACAUGUUUAAGUGGUGUGCCGAGUGUGACUCUUAUGUUUAACUUUUCUUAAUUCCUUUCUUUACGCCGUAACCCCGCGUGAAAAUUUUCUCUCCUACUUUAUUUUCUUCCCGAAGCAUCUCGAUUCUCACCUACUCUCAACUGCUCUCACCAACACUCUCUAUCUCUCGCCCUUUCGUUCUUUUUAUUUUCUUUCGGGGUCAGCAGUUCACCCAGCAACCAUCGCGCAGCACCCCUGCCAAACGCCUCUGUUUUACACAACUCUAAACAGAGCACUUACUAACCACCCAACCGCUAAACCACGACGGAAGACGCCAGACCACUGCUUCAAACAUCCAACCCACGCCCCGUAGCCAGGCCUUGAACCCACGUGUAGCCACCGUAAGCCACCAAACAACCACCCCAGACCCACCAGCAACCUCUCGGCCCCGCCCUUCGCAGCCAACCUUUGCCACCAAAGCCCACUGUCCAGCUCCACCCACGAAAAUCACCUACAUGUAGAAAGCACAAACUCUGCCCCAACCGUGAACCACCAAGCUCGAAGCCCCUAUAACACCAAACAACAGCCCCCACGCCAAUCAGCAGGCCACCCAACCACUGCCUUAAACUACCGAAAGCCUCUGUUUUCCCUAUAUCCAUAAACAGAGCCUCGCUUCCUGCCGUGAGCCAAGCCGCAGCCACCUUCCUCUGUUCGACCACCACCCCGCCGGAAUCGACAACAGGAAGUGACACCGGAAGCCUCCCACAGCCCAGAUCUGCCUCACAACUUCCUUGGAAUCUGUCGCCGUCGACCUCAGCCGCGCCGCCGUGGAUCUCCACGCAGGCCCACUGCCGCGUCCACCCCUUCCUCGGUGAGCAGCUGCCCAACCCUCUCUCUCUACCUCUCGGUUUGAAUAAAACAACACCCUUUUCUUUGUUUUGACUUUUGUCCUUAUUUUUCUCCAGAAAUGGGUAUAGGCCUUUUGACUCUUUGAAGAAUAGCCUUUAGCCAGCUUUAAACCCGAUGGUCAUUGAUUGGAUUAUCCGUUAAGCAUCUCAACCCUUUUAAAUAUUUUUAUAUUAUUUCCUUUUCUUUAAAGUCUUACAUGCUAAAAUGUGCUUGGGACAACGUUAGGCCUGUUGUGAACUAACUGAAAAGAAAGAGAGAAUGAGGAAGAGAAUGAGAGAGAGGUUCUUGUUA